AAUCAACGAAUCAGGAAGCACUGAGGCAGAUGGAUCUUUAGUUGAUACGCGGGGCCCAAGCCCAAUAAAUAAAGUCCACCAAAGAAGGAUAAAGAAGUCAUUUUACAUAAAGGAGGGGUGAGUUUAGCUUGAUAGGGGGUGCACCGGGAACUUUCCUAUUUUAGAAAUUGAAAUAAACGUGUACUCCAUAUAGAUUCUAGAAGCUAGCACAUUUAGCACAUGUAUUAGAGUUAGGCAACGUGAUUCAUAGUGGCUGAACACGUUUUUCAUCACAAGUCCAAGGUUGAGGAAUCUAUAUAACUCACCUUGGCUGUCCUUGUAUUCACUUUGGAAUAUAUGAGAAAUUUCUACAUUCUGAAAUUUAUCUCUACCGAGCAAAUUUAUC
This 385-nucleotide long non-coding RNA is filed under the name Vigna radiata. Its description in RNAcentral is "long non-coding RNA (VRAD_LNC016681)". Lineage: Eukaryota; Viridiplantae; Streptophyta; Magnoliopsida; Fabales; Fabaceae. The record is from RNAcentral.